UAUUCAAGCCACGCCAUGGCUAAAGCAGAAGACAAAAGAGAUGAGAAAAAGAAAUUGGACCAAAUCUGUAGAGUCAAAUGAUACACGACCUGAAGAAGUAAAACCAUCAACCUUGUUGAAUCUAACUUAUUUGUUUUUCAAAGAUCUUAAUCUUAGAUGAUGGACAGAUUUAAGUUUACGGACGGUGCACUGUUUUGGGCGGCACAACAGUGACGGUAAGAACUAAGAAUUUGGUGCUGAACGAGGAGAGAGAAUGAAGUAAAUUAGUGAGAGAGAAAAUUCAUGUGUUGUGAGACCAUUAAGGAACAUUUUAAUCCAAAGGAGAAAGUUAGUCUUGCACCGUGAAAGACUUAAUCAACUAUUUCACCAUAGCACUCGCCCACAUCAACAUUCAAAAAAUUAUUUAUUAAUAUAUAUUAAAUAUUAUAAUUAUAAUUUUUAGCAAAAGAUUGUGUACACUUGCUUCUUAAAGUUAAUGUACACGUACUUAACCUAUAAAUUAUCAACACAAAAAAAAACAAAAAAACUUCUCUUGUCACAUCUUUUCUCCUUCCAUCAACAGUAUCCGUACUAGUCAAAAAAAUCAUAAGUACGAAUACUAUCCUUAUUUUCUUGGUAAGAGACUACCCUACAAAUUUAUUUUUUUGGUAUGACUAUGAUCUUUAUACCCUACAAUUUCCUACUACUCAGGCAAGUACAAUACCCUCUUAUUCCUCAAUUUGGUACUAGUAGUAAUGUUCAGCAUUUUUCAAAAAUUAAAUUAAAUUGAAAAACUCCACAAUGAAACUUCAGUAUCAGUAUCACCACCAAAUUCCACGUCAGCAAUAUCAUAUUCACAUUCACUCCCCCAAUAAUGCGCCGGUGACAUUAGUACCAUGUUUCUUAAAUAC
This 890-nucleotide long non-coding RNA is filed under the name Trifolium pratense (red clover). RNAcentral describes it as "long non-coding RNA (TPRA_LNC008085)". The record is from RNAcentral. Lineage: Eukaryota; Viridiplantae; Streptophyta; Magnoliopsida; Fabales; Fabaceae.